GAUGAACGCUGGCGGCGUGCCUAAUACAUGCAAGUCGAGCGAACGGACGAGAAGCUUGCUUCUCUGAUGUUAGCGGCGGACGGGUGAGUAACACGUGGAUAACCUACCUAUAAGACUGGGAUAACUUCGGGAAACCGGAGCUAAUACCGGAUAAUAUUUUGAACCGCAUGGUUCAAAAGUGAAAGACGGUCUUGCUGUCACUUAUAGAGGGAUCCGCGCUGCAUUAGCUAGUUGGUAAGGUAACGGCUUACCAAGGCAACGAUGCAUAGCCGACCUGAGAGGGUGAUCGGCGACACUGGAAGGUGGACACGGUCCAGACGCCUACGGGAGGCAGCAGUAGGGAAUCUUCCGCAAUGGGCGAAAGCCUGACGGAGCAACGCCGCGUGAGUGAUGAAGGUCUUCGGAUCGUAAAACUCUGUUAUUAGGGAAGAACAUAUGUGUAAGUAACUGUGCACAUCUUGACGGUACCUAAUCAGAAAGCCACGGCUAACUACGUG
This 497-nucleotide ribosomal RNA is filed under the name uncultured bacterium. Its description in RNAcentral is "partial 16S ribosomal RNA". It matches the Rfam family "Bacterial small subunit ribosomal RNA", at positions 28 to 507 of the family's 1533-position model. The record is from RNAcentral.